This is a long non-coding RNA of Cannabis sativa, 1068 nucleotides long. RefSeq lists it as uncharacterized. The transcript has 2 exons. The record is from RefSeq and is a predicted model, not a curated record. NCBI's taxonomy places the organism in Eukaryota, Viridiplantae, Streptophyta, Magnoliopsida, Rosales, Cannabaceae.
CUUACCCAUAUGUGUUUUUUUGGAGCAUGUUGCCCGAAUGGGAUUGUUGGAAGCCUAGCUUAUUAAGCUCAGUGGGAGUUUGUUAUUUAUGUAUUGAACAUGCUAGUAUUUUGUACGGAUUGCUUAUGGCUUGUGUUUUGUUAAGAACAUGCAUUAUGAUACUGAAGUCACUUCUUUAUUGUUAUUACAUAUGUAUGCUUAUACAUAUAUGUCGUUGUUCAAGGAAGUGACAGGUACAAAACGAGAUGAAUGCGCAUAAUCUCAAUUUUGUCGUACCUCAUGCAUGUUUAGUUCGAUUGUUAAUGAUUGUUAAUGGAUAAAUGUCUUCAAGGUCAAUUCAUACAUAAUACAUGUAUCCUGUCGAUAUGAUAUUAUGUACGUCUUAAUUGGUUACCUUAUGUGUGAUAGACAAUGUUAUGGUGGUUGAUUAUAUUGUCCAAGUGGGAGAAUGUUAGAAUUAUUAUUGUGGACUAAUAUAAUCAUGAGCUUAAUACCAUAAACGCAAUCAUUAACUAUGUGCCCAAUAUUUGUUCACUACCAUAAUGGGAUGGUUAAUAAUCAUAUAUUAUGUUAGAGGCACAUGAGAGCACCCUUAAAACUAUAAUUGGCCCAUUAAAUUAUAGUAUACCAUUAUUGGACCACUUAAGCCCAAUUAGUAAAUAACCCUUUAGGGUUAAAGGGGCAUGAGAUGUAUAUAUAUAUGUUAUAUAUGAAGAAGUGGUUUUUAAGGUAAGUUAAUGGUAAUAAGAUGAAGAGGGGAUAGCUCCACAUUGUGCUCCUCUCCAAUCUUGGUUUUACAUUGGAUUGUUUGGAUUCUUGGAUGCUCUAACAUGGAUCAAAUGGAUGGUUCAUCAAUGGAAGGUUGGCUCCGAGGGGCGGACCCACAUAUAAUCGAGACGGGGCAAUCGCCCUCCCUGAAAAAAAAAUCGAGAAAAAAAUAUCUAUGCAAUUUAAUUAGUUACAACAUAUAUUUGUAAUAAAAGAUGAUAUUUGUAACUAUAAUAUUAAUUUUAAUAUAAUGGUUAAGCUACUUAGCAUAUAGGUUAGAGGACAAGGGUUCUAAUCCCA